Molecule: non-coding RNA, 24 nt
Filed under: Mus musculus (house mouse)
Lineage: Eukaryota; Metazoa; Chordata; Mammalia; Rodentia; Muridae
Source: RNAcentral
UGAACACUAUUUCAGACCUCUGGC